UCCUUCCAGGCUUGAGUGGGGAAAUGCUAGCAUGGCAGAAAUGCAGCACACGGAUGGCUCACGGGUAGCGAACAUGCCUGCAGACACACGGAUGAGGCAGGCAGUGGAGGCUAUUCACUUAUCAGCCCAUGCAGAAAUCUGCAGGCAUCUCCUAACAAACACCCCAGCCCCAACUCCUCCUUUUGCAACACCUGAUCUCCUACUAAAUGCAGACACCCUUGCCCAAAGAGCUGAGCCUUGAAAUUUGUGAGUGCUGUUAGUACAGGGUUUUUUUGAAAUGAGAAGAGCAUUUGCUGGAAGUGGUGUUCUUUGAUCUUGUCCAAAGGGAAGUUCUAGUCUCCUUCCUGAUGGGAAGAAGCAGCAGCAUACUGGCUGAGAGAAGACUGCAGGCUGCUGGAAACCUCUUGUUAUACAGGACUGAAUGUCCUUGAAAGCACCAGUUAUAACAAACAACUAGGGGCAGAUCUCAGGCGAACGCUGCACGAGUCAGAGGUCACAGCUGGAAGUGGUUUUAGGGGAAAUUCAAAAUUACUGUCAAAAGCAGUUCUCUCUCAUUUUAAUUGUAAUUGGUUAAUCUCAUUUUAUUUGCCUUGUGGCUAUGGCUGUGAAGCUUAGGAAACUCUCGGGGCCCCUGUUCUCCUCUCAGUUACUCUGAGAGCAAUUCUGAAGACUUCAGCAAAGUUGCUUUGGAUUUUUCCCUUGUGCCACUGAGACCAGAGGGCAUUCUUUGGAGAAGGCUGCAGCAAGGGAGGGCAUGAAUGUGGCUGAUGGCUGUUCGUUUUUCAGAAAUGGUAUUGACUGAUUUAACCUUCCUCAUGGCCCCCCUCUGCUGAGUUGCCAAUGGCCAGUGCAGGGAGCUAAGGAUGGUUUUGCACAUAUCACUCCCUUCAACCUUCCUGGAGCUGGAGGAGGGGAGGGCUACAGGUGGUACAGCUGCUCUGGGAAGGGGUGAAUAUGGUGCCAGGAUAGCAUCAGCUGAGGAUACAUUUCACUGCAUUUUGGAAACUGAAAGUCAGUGGGAGCAGUCUGCUCCUGUAAUGCACCAUGCACUGAGCUACUGGCAAAUUCUCCACUAACAGCUUAAACCUGUCUCUGCAGUAUACCCGCAGCUUGAGGGCAGUGUUUGUCCAGUGGUAUCUCAUCAAACUGAAGAGUGCACAGUCAACAAACCACUCAGGAUUAGCACAGCAAGACACUGCUGCAAAAGCGGGCGAUGUGUUAACAAGCUGAGCUGUGCCUGGUAAAGAGUUUGGCGAAGACCUGAUCUAACACGUCAGGCAGCUUGUCUGUGGCCCCUGUCUCCCCACCCUCUCCUCAGCACACGUGUGCAGUCACAUGGAAUUUGCUGCUUUGACUUGCAGGCAAGUCAAAAAGCUGUCGAACAGCGAUCACAUCUAACACCACUCAUCAUCACCAUCAAUUGUUCUCCAAAUGAAACAGGCCAUGUCGCCAAGCUAAAUGCUUGGGAAGAUAUUUUUCCACUGGACAUGCAUCCAAAAUAAAUACAGGAAAAUCUCCUUCUCCAAGCACUUCUCCUGAUUGCUUUUCAUUUGAAUCAUUAGUAAACCCGAGAUAUACACACACAAUAGCACACAACUGAUGAAAACCUACUUCAACAUAGUGCCCCAGUUUUUCUUCUGAGAUUAAUCCUCUUUGUUACUCUCAGCCUACGAGAAAAACAUCCCUCCAGCCUACCCAAAGCCA
This is a long non-coding RNA of Athene cunicularia (burrowing owl), 1704 nucleotides long. RefSeq lists it as uncharacterized. The record is from RefSeq and is a predicted model, not a curated record. The transcript is spliced from 3 exons. Lineage: Eukaryota; Metazoa; Chordata; Aves; Strigiformes; Strigidae.